This 253-nucleotide ribosomal RNA is filed under the name uncultured bacterium. RNAcentral describes it as "partial 16S ribosomal RNA". It matches the Rfam family "Bacterial small subunit ribosomal RNA", at positions 524 to 776 of the family's 1533-position model. The record is from RNAcentral.
UACGUAGGGGGCAAGCGUUGUCCGGAUUUAUUGGGCGUAAAGAGCGUGUAGGCGGCCAGGUAGGUCUGGUGUGAAAACUGGAGGCUUAACCUCCAGACGUCGACGGAAACCGCGCGGCUAGAGUCCGGAAGAGGAGAGUGGAAUUCCUGGUGUAGCGGUGAAAUGCGCAGAUAUCAGGAAGAACACCUAUGGCGAAGGCAGCUCUCUGGGACGGUACUGACGCUGAGACGCGAAAGCGUGGGGAGCGAACAGG